AUUGAACGCUGGCGGCAGGCCUAACACAUGCAAGUCGAGCGGAUGAAGGGAGCUUGCUCCUGGAUUCAGCGGCGGACGGGUGAGUAAUGCCUAGGAAUCUGCCUGGUAGUGGGGGAUAACGUCCGGAAACGGGCGCUAAUACCGCAUACGUCCUGAGGGAGAAAGUGGGGGAUCUUCGGACCUCACGCUAUCAGAUGAGCCUAGGUCGGAUUAGCUAGUUGGUGGGGUAAAGGCCUACCAAGGCGACGAUCCGUAACUGGUCUGAGAGGAUGAUCAGUCACACUGGAGCUGGGACACGGUCCAGACUCCUACGGGAGGCCGCAAUGGGGAAUAUUGGACAAUGGGCGAAAGCCUGAUCCAGCCGUGCCGCGUGUGUGAAGAAGGUCUUCGGAUUGUAAAGCACUUUAAGUUGGGAGGAAGGGCAGUAAGUUAAUACCUUGCUGUUUUGACGUUACCAACAGAAUAAGCACCGGCUAACUUCGUG
This 484-nucleotide ribosomal RNA is filed under the name uncultured bacterium. Its description in RNAcentral is "partial 16S ribosomal RNA". It matches the Rfam family "Bacterial small subunit ribosomal RNA", at positions 30 to 507 of the family's 1533-position model. The record is from RNAcentral.